Molecule: long non-coding RNA, 554 nt
Organism: Labeo rohita (rohu)
Lineage: Eukaryota; Metazoa; Chordata; Actinopteri; Cypriniformes; Cyprinidae
Exons: 8
Source: RefSeq, a predicted model, not a curated record
CUUUAAAUAUCCCAGAAUUCCUUGCACCGGUCACACGUGCUCAUUGCUUCUAGCACAAAGUCAGAUCAUCAGUGCACGAUCGGUUGGAGAUGAGCGGAUGCAGUAUGCGCGUUUAUUGUCCAUCUGAACCCCCUGACUGAACAGAAACUUGCCAUUUUUCUAUGAUGUCUUAAUUAAGAAGAUUCUCAUAUUGUAUUGGUCCUGAAGAAUCCUUUUCUAAACAUUACUUGCCAAAGGCAGAGAAUGUAAGAGCUACAGUCAUUGGCCACAGGCAGAAAAUGUAAGAACUACAGUCAUCAGCCAAAGACCAAGAAUGUAAGAACUACAGUCAUUAGCCAAAGGCAGAGAAUGUAAGAACUACAGUCAUUAGAUUUCAAUGAUGGCUUCAUUUUGAGGCACAUGUUUUCGGUGACUGGUGGCUUGUUCCUCCGCAGUGCAACUCGAGUAGAACUAAAUUUAUUGCCAUGUUUGAAGAACAUCUGAAAUGAGUGGUGGCUUUUCUAUUGUAAACCAUGUGUUUAUGUAUUUCCAAUAAAUAAAGGUGCUUGUUUGUA